This is a long non-coding RNA of Onychomys torridus (southern grasshopper mouse), 700 nucleotides long. RefSeq lists it as uncharacterized. NCBI's taxonomy places the organism in Eukaryota, Metazoa, Chordata, Mammalia, Rodentia, Cricetidae. The record is from RefSeq and is a predicted model, not a curated record. The transcript is spliced from 2 exons.
UUUGGAAGGACCCCAUGCCAGUGAGGUACACCUGGCUUCUGCAGGAUGGGGAUGCUCCCCGCCCCCAACCCCGUGACCCGGCCCCCGGGCCCUGGGCCCACCGGAUGAGCAAUUGGAGACGCCCCCAGUUCGUGAUGGGUGCAGGGCGCCCCAGAUCGUGAUGGGUGCAGGAUGCCCCCAGACCCCGGCGGUGCAAGCACCAGCCAGACCCUGUCCUGGGCGCUUGCGCAAGGGCCUGGCUCCACCUCGGACACCAGCAGCCCCCCACCCCCACCCGGGUGGCCCUGCGGCCCAUCCUGCCGCUCCCCAAAUCCCUCACGUCCCGCUCUGUGACAAGGGGGCCUGCAGAUGACAAAGUGGAUGUGGACUCCAUCCCUGCCCUGAGCUGCCGUGAAGAGAGCCUCUCCCAGAGGAGCAGGAAGAGAAGAUUGACACUCACUGGGCUGAACCCUUACCUGGAGGGUGCUGUGAAAUGCUCAUGCCAAGUCAGAGGGUGUGAGUGGAGGGGACAUGAACUGAGAGGAGGUGCAGAGAAUACCCCAGAGCCCAGAGACUGAGAAUAACCAGCCACCCCCACAUAUGAAGUCUUAACUUCAUAUUUUUGGCAUUGUGAUAGCAGGAAAGAAAUGUGAACACCAUUAAAUGGUACUUGAAAAAAAUACUAACCUCUUCUGGGCUAAUAAAAUGGGAUACAAUAUCA